RNAcentral lists this non-coding RNA (30 nucleotides) under Mus musculus (house mouse). The record is from RNAcentral. Lineage: Eukaryota; Metazoa; Chordata; Mammalia; Rodentia; Muridae.
UGUAAGAGUGCUAUCUGUGGCCAGACCCAA